CCAAAUUAGAAAUGCAGAUAAGCUCUCAUGAGGUUGGCUCUUUGGCAAUGCCCCUUUAUCUACUGAUCAGCCUGAGGCCCUGGUGUUCCAUUCUACCUUUGUCUUUGUGUACUUCUGCAAUCCAGAUGGACUUGUACUCUCCCUGAGAAUCUUCUGCUGAUCCUUGCCCAAAAUGUGAACCACGGCUUACUGGCUGAAGUAUAAAAAUUGCUGAAGGACAUUUUCUAUCACACUUUGGGCAGCACACAAAAUUGAUGGAAAAUUACCUUUCCAAGAGAGAAAAGAAAUAAGCAGUUCCUUGUAGAAAUGCAGAAGACCACCUGCAGCUUGAAGGAUUGUUGGGUUCCAAGUUGAAGAGCUGCAGAACCAGAAUCUGUCACAUCUCAGAGGAAAGAGAUGUCCUUAAAACCAGAUGAGGCACUGCAAGAAAUCCUUCACCCAAUGCCACACAGUUUCUCCGCCUUUUCACCCAAAGUUAGAGAGCCAGCAAGAAACAAAGGUGUUGAGAUAUUUUUCUAUACCUCCACACAAAGAAACAGGAAACAUUUGACAAGAGAGAGAAAGAAACUAGCAGAGAUACUCUUGGACUUUUCAGCAGAAAUGCCACUGGCCUAGGAUCAAGCCCAAUCACAGCUGGGCAGAGAGGUCUUCAGAGCUCAGGAGCAGACCCUGAUCCCCCAGAAGGAUCCUGGAACCUCCCAAUGACUUCUCCAAGAUGGUGAGUAAUCUGAGACAGAAAUACAAAUUCAUCAUUCUUAUCAUUGUUCUUAUCGUUUUCUUUAUCGUAUUCAUUGCUCCGCUAAGUAAAGAACAAUCAUGAUUUAAGAAACUCCUUCACUUCCCAAUGAAAAUAAAAUACAAGCUAUCUGGCACAGCUUGAGGACACAGUUUAAAUUGUGCCUAAUCCCUUUUUAUGCCUCCAGUUCUGGAUGCUAUGUUUGACACCUGCUUUUUUGAAGAAUUUAGUAUACAUCUUCUGUAGAUUAUGGAGCUUCCCAGCUGUUAAAUUAAGUGAAUGCAAACAAGAAUCUUUAAUGAUCAGUUACUUUUAAAGCUUUAACUGAGUAUUCUUGCUGUUUAAUUCUUAGGAGACACCACUUCGUUAUAGCACUGGUUCUCACUCAGUUCUUUUACAUGAGAACACUGACUGUGCUUGUGGAAGAUCUUUAACUUUAUUUGCAAUGUUAAAUAACCAAAGGGAAAGUUAAAUAUGGUAAGAAAAUUCUGUGUACACAAUGUCUUUCUUUAUACAUCCUCACACAUCUGCAACAGACAACCUCUGCUUUUAUUUCAGGUCCAGAUGAGUGUAAAUUUUUGAAGGAGGAACGCAACUUUUAGACCUCUGAAAACCUAUAUGUUUUGAUUUUUUACUUUCACAGAUACUAUAAAUUCUCUCUAGAAGAUUCACCAUCACCCACAAGUUGUCUCAACACCUUGAAUAAUAAAGUUCACAAACAU
Molecule: long non-coding RNA, 1458 nt
Organism: Oxyura jamaicensis (ruddy duck)
Lineage: Eukaryota; Metazoa; Chordata; Aves; Anseriformes; Anatidae
Exons: 5
Source: RefSeq, a predicted model, not a curated record